AGUGAACGCUGGCGGCAGGCCUAACACAUGCAAGUCGAACGAACUCUUCGGAGUUAGUGGCGGACGGGUUAGUAACACGACGGAACGUGAAUUUAGGUUCGGAAUAACUCAGGGACACUUGUGCUAAUACCGAACGUGCGCUUCGGGGGAAAGAUAUAUCGCCCUUAGUGGGGCCCUCGUCUGAUUAGCUAGUUGGGUCGGUAAUGGCUCACCAAGGCGACGAUCAGCAGCUGGUCUGUGAGGCUGGUCACCCACAUUGGGACUGAGACACGGCCCAAACUCCUACGGGAGGCAGGAGUGGGUGAUCGUGCGCCAUGGGGGAAAGCAUGACGCAGCCAGGCCGCGAGAAUGAUGAAAGUCUUGAGAUUGUAAAAUUCUUGCACCGAUGACGAUAAUGACGGUACCCAGAGAAGAAGCCCCGGCUAACUUCGUG
RNAcentral lists this ribosomal RNA (433 nucleotides) under uncultured bacterium. RNAcentral describes it as "partial 16S ribosomal RNA". It matches the Rfam family "Bacterial small subunit ribosomal RNA", at positions 29 to 507 of the family's 1533-position model. The record is from RNAcentral.